Molecule: non-coding RNA, 73 nt
Organism: Danio rerio (zebrafish)
Lineage: Eukaryota; Metazoa; Chordata; Actinopteri; Cypriniformes; Danionidae
Source: Rfam
GCCUGGCUAGCUCAGUCGGUAGAGCAUGAGACUCAUAAUGUCAGGGUCGUGGGUUAGACCCCCACGUUGGGCG